CAAAAAAUAGUUUAAUUUAGAACUCUGGCUUUGGGGGUCAGGGGUGGGAGUUUGAAUCUCCUUUUUUUGA
Molecule: transfer RNA, 70 nt
Filed under: Eumicrotremus orbis (Pacific spiny lumpsucker)
Lineage: Eukaryota; Metazoa; Chordata; Actinopteri; Perciformes; Cyclopteridae
Description: tRNA-Pro
Rfam family: tRNA
About the family: Transfer RNA (tRNA) molecules are approximately 80 nucleotides in length. Their secondary structure includes four short double-helical elements and three loops (D, anti-codon, and T loops).
Source: RNAcentral